UUUCAUUCGCGGCAAUUAGGAGCCAAUUUCACGCGUCGUUCUCGCAGCGAAACCAUAAAUUUCUCCCGACACUUGUCCGGCUGAAGGCGACUUAAAUGGUUUAAGUCUAAAUACCUUUCAACUUACAUAAACUGUUGCAAUCCCGAGGGCUUAAAGGCAUUUCCAGUUAAGAAAUCAAAGUUAUUUCAUGAGCGGCAAUUUCAAGAGCAGUCAUUGAUUAAGCCAUCAAUCAUAUUAACUUUGACUGCAUGACAAGAUGCAAAUGCCGGCUUUGUACGCUUCUAUAUUGCAUAUAUGCAAAAGAAUCUUCUCUUUGGUAAGAGAGCAAAAGCAAAUCCUCAAAACGGGCCAAAUGUCAACAGGAAUAGAACGGAAGUCGCAUUCGAUGGCAAGAGACAUUUGAUGGCCAUCGGAUCAUUUUUCACUUCAUUCAUAAGCCGGAAAACGUAAUUUAUGAUGGGAAAUUCCUAAGACGGAGCAGCAGGCGAUAAAUUUACAGUUUGCGAAACGUUAUUAAUUGCUAAUUACCUCCGAACAUGAUUAAUGCCCUCCUAGCCGCCGCGUUCAUCUGCAUUUCAGUAUGCUCAUUGAUGUGCCACAUACACAUGGAGGUAAAAUAACAUAGUAUCAAUUACUGCAGCUGGAACUUUCUAAAUGUGGCAUGCAUUUGGUUUUCCAUACUGGAAAAUUGCAGAUCGGUUUCUAAAUGUAUCCUAUUACAUUGAUUGAGAUAUUC
This is a long non-coding RNA of Drosophila sechellia, 736 nucleotides long. RefSeq lists it as uncharacterized. The record is from RefSeq and is a predicted model, not a curated record. The transcript has 3 exons. NCBI's taxonomy places the organism in Eukaryota, Metazoa, Arthropoda, Insecta, Diptera, Drosophilidae.